GACGAACGCUGGCGGCGUGCUUAACACAUGCAAGUCGAACGGAGAGGCCUGCUUUCCCUUGUGGAUUGCGGGUACUCGAGUGGCGAACGGGUGAGUAACACGUGAGUGAUCUGCCCCCAACUUGGGUAUAAGCCUGGGAAACUGGGUCUAAUUCCCGAUAGGACUGCAGGGUGGUGCCUGUGGUGGAAAACGAUUUUCUAGUGGUUGGGGAUGAGCUCGCGGCCUAUCGGCUUGUUGGUGGGGUAAUGGCCUACCAAGGCGGCGACGGGUAGCCGGCCUGAGAGGGUGGACGGCCACAUUGGGACUGAGAUACGGCCCAGACUCCUACGGGAGGCAGCAGUGGGGAAUAUUGCACAAUGGGCGGAAGCCUGAUGCAGCGACGCCGCGUGGGGGAUGACGGCCUUCGGGUUGUAAACUCCUUUCGACCGCGAGGAAGCCACCUGGUUGGAAGGGUGGUGACGGUAGUGGUAGAAGAAGCACCGGCUAACUACGUG
This 494-nucleotide ribosomal RNA is filed under the name uncultured bacterium. RNAcentral's name for it is "partial 16S ribosomal RNA". It matches the Rfam family "Bacterial small subunit ribosomal RNA", at positions 28 to 507 of the family's 1533-position model. The record is from RNAcentral.